CACCUGAGUAAAGCAUGAAGCAGCCUCCCAAAUUGACACGCUCUGCGGUGGUUUGACCAGAGAGAGGGAAUGGUCUUGUACUCUCAUGUCUUGUGGUGGAAUAGAGGGCAGCUAGCAGGUCUGUGGUCCCCUGCGGCCUGGUGCUGCGUGCCAGCCCUGCUGCUGCAUUCCUGGAAGGAGAGGCUUCUCUUCUCUGAUGAGAAGCACAGCCAUGCCACUUGCUGUGGCGGCAAAGCCCAAGAGCAUGACUAACUGGUAACAUAAAGAACCACCUUCCAUGCAGCCUGAUUCACCCGAUCCUUGCACAGACUCACUCUUUCCAUCAAGGAAUACUUGAUAAUGCAGCGCACACUGCUGAGAUCACCCUUCUGGCAAAUGCCUGCUGUGGUAUGAGACCCAGUCAUCUGGCAGCACAUUGCUUACUGCAGUCUCCACGGCAACCCUCCAUGCUGUUCUUCUUUGGAAGCUCUGCGCAUUUGUAAAGAAGCUGUCAUCCCUUUUACUGUAAGUGCAGCAGAUGUGAAAGAUUUUACCUGUGCCAAUGAACCCCAGAGCAGGACGUGGUUGCUCUGAGGAGCAGUGCUGCAGUAGGCGUAAUGCUUCUCUCUGAAGGGCACUCACUGUCCACUCAUGGUGUUACAAAAUGCCUCCUGCUUUGUGCUCUGAACAUUUGGAUGUGUCUGUAGCCCACAGUGUUGGCACAAAGAGCCUGGGCUGCCCCGAGGAUCACAGAGGAGCUCUUCUGAGGCAUUGGCCUUGCAGUGCUGACAUCUGCCACAGAAAGAACUCAUUUCAGAAGGCUGAUCCCAAGGUGGGUUUACUUGUCCUGCACUGACUAAAAUGUGAACGGUUCUGGUACAGGAACAACUGAACUGCAGCUUGGACCCUCGUGUUCCAUAGAGGAACAAGCCUGAGCAAAGGCUGCCAAUUGUAUUGAUCAGGAGGAACAGCCAUCUUCUCUGUUGUGGAUGCUGAACCUGACAGUUCAGAGGGGCAGCUGUCUGCCUCCAGCGUCCCAUCAGAAGCCCUCUGGGGUGUUCUGAGAGGCUAUAAAUCAAACAGGGUGGAUAUCUUCUGUGAUAGGUAAGCCUGAUACAUGCUCAGUGCUAGUAGAUUGCACUGAUUAAGCUGAUUUCUAUGCUGGCCACUGCUAAAACUCAGUCUGGAACUGAAAGCUUCAGGUUUGUGUUCUGUCUCUUCUCAUGUUUGUUUUUCUGAUCUAAUGGUCAUGCAGAAAUCAAGGACUAGUGUUUUCUUCUUGAUAAGGUUAUUGCAGUUCUUUGAGCGUGAGCAAGGCAGGGGAAAACUCCAUGCUCUUCAUGUGGAAGGAACCAUAUCUACCAAGGGAGGCAGGGAGGUAAUGUGUAGACCUGGACCAGAAGAAUUGGUCCAGCUUCAAAAUGGGCAUCUGACUUUAUUUCUAUUUUUUUUUCUAGGGUCAUCAAUAUACAGCAAGAGACUCUUCUCUCUUUUGGAGGAUGCCCAAACCACCAUCUCAGAAGAGUGGCUGAACCAUAUAACAGCUGAAGUUAAAACAGGGUGACUGCAGGACCUGCCUUUGCCAAAGCAUCUCAUGUUCCCUUUGGGUGACAGUGAGCUCUUUAUUUAUAAAACUGCUGUCAUUUUUAUUUCCCACUGUGAGCUCUGAGAGGGAUAGCGUUAGAUGAGGUGCGAGCUGUGCUUUGCUGUGCAGGAGGUUUGCUUGUCUGCUCUGCGUCGAGCAGCAGCUGCUGGGAAGCCCUCCCACAGAGCUUUCAGCCCUUGCCUUUCUGUCAGUCUGCUUCCAAACCUGGGCAGCCCUGCCGCUCAGCUCACCUCUGUCCCUGCUUUGCUGUCUCAGCCCUGGAUUUCUCCCGAGAUGCCUGCCAACUGUGCCAGACAGCUGGGACGCGCGUGUUCAAUCAGGCGCUUUCCAUGAACUCUGUAGCUGCUGCCAUAUCUGUCAGCGGUGUCACUUGACAUUCCCCAAAGGCCGGAGGGGAUAAAAGGUAUCUCCCUCUUGCUGUAACACUUGUGCUUCAGGAGGUGAGAACUAUUCUGCCCAGUGCACCCAAGAUCUGAGGAACCUGCGCUUCCAGGCUGAGGAGCCGCAGUCCAGGAGCAUCAGCGAGGUUGGAGCUGCUGAUUGCAGAAACUGAGGAGGACCGAGGUGUUUGGAAAGCACAGUGAGCCUACAGCCAGCCUAAGCAAGCUGGAGAAUGCGUGUUGGGGAAACAAACCAAGGAGCAGGCAGUGGCAUGUGAAGCGAGUCCCCCUGCUGGCACAGGAGUGAUUGCAGAGCAAUAAUACAAAUCAUAAUACAAGUAUGUGUAGAGGUAAUGAGGGCUCUCCCAGUGAAGUCUGCUGCUGUCUAGAUCCUCCUAGUACACUUCCAUCACUGUCUAGAGCUCAGUAAACUCCCAGUGACCUGCAGGACUGUCUAGAGACACCAAGUGCACUGCCAGUGCCCAUGGUGCUGUCUGGAGACCCCCAGUGCCUCCUGGGCACUUCUAGACAACACUGGAGGGCACUGGGAAUAAUAGGAGUAUUUAGGGGGAGCUGGGGGGAAGGUGGUUUUGGAACUGUGGUAGGAGGCUCUGGACAAUACUGAGGACACAUUUGGAAAGUACUGGGAGACCAUGGGCUGCACAGGGAGUUUAUUGAGAGGCUCUGGGUGUAUGCUGGGAGCCUCUAAGCAGCACUGGUGGGCACUGAGCACGAUCCUUGGUGUUUGCUGUUCAAGGUCUGCAUGACUUCCUGAGAAAGUCUGUACAUACGGAGCUCUAAACAGUACUGGGAAGCACUGGGGGAAACUGAAGGAUUCUAGGCAGUGUGGGGGGGUUCCUGGGGCCUUAGGAAGUGCUGGGGAGCACUGGAAGAGACGUGUGUGGUGAUUUGAAGGCCUCAGAUAACCUGUUGUUUUAUUGGCUCUUUUUUUGUUGUCUCCACUUAGGCAACGUGAGGUUUGCUGUUUCCACCUGCCCUUGCAGGAGCGAAUUAGGGUAUUCUGUGCCUGCCCUUUCCUCCCUUUGAGAUGUCUCCAUCCCACUGGCUUUGCUGUGCGUGUGACAAAAAGAAAGAGAGGUCUCCUCUUUAACCUUGCCAGGCUGAGUUGCAAGAGGGAGUAAACACCUGGGAUAGUAGAUGUAAGGAAUUGCACAGUCAUACACAGUGAGAUAGGGUAUGCAUGGUGGGAUGCAAAGAGCAUUUCUGUACAGCCUGCCCUCUGAUGUGAAAGGCUGAUGCCUUGCAGGGUGUCUCUGAGCAGAACUGAGCCUUACUGCCUUCUUGAGAGAAAACACAGAGGACAAGAGAGUAGGAGAAAGUGUUUCGUGUGCCCUAGGUCAAAUCCUCUUUGAGCCCAAGAGGCCUUUCAAGCACUCGAAACUGCUCUUCAUGUAAAACUGCCUGGAAUAGCAUACUGCAUCCACGAGGGAAAGGAUACGGAGCAGAAUGCUCCGUGCACUUCAGGGCACAGGGGCAGACCUGGUCCUCUCAUUGUGCAUGUCCAUGGAAGCAGCCAGGCUGUGUAAAUAGGUUUUCCAAACAGUUGUGUGGGGUGUUUUCCUUUGAUUCAUCAGCUGUAAUUCCUCGCUAAGACCUGGCAUGCUUUCCUGGUGGCUUGCCUUCCACAUGUCAUCUGUUCCCUUUGGGCCUGGCUGCUCGAGGUGCUGACCUCCAGGCAGCCUUGCCUGGGUUCACUUCCGCAGGAUGCAGCCCUUCCUUGACCCCACCUCAUCCCCAUAGGUAUUCAAAUGGCUCCAGCAGCAUGAAAUCCUCUUGGUUCCCUGACCCUGUUGUUUGUGUUGGCUUCCUGGGGUGAGAGGUUGCCCCGUGAUUGCGUUUGGGUCCCCAGUCUCUUUACUUUUCUCACAGUUUCUAAGACAACCAGUGCAAUGAGAUGCAAAUAUCGGCCCCUCUUAGGCUGUGUGCCUCGGGACAAGGCUGGCUGCUUCACCUCUGAGCUCCUGGCUCGUCCAAACGCUUUGUGUUUCCAUUCCUCAGUGUGACUGUUCAAUUCCCAUCCCCACAGCAGCAGUAUUUCACCCCUACCAGCUUUGAGUACAACCUAGAGCUGGGCUUACACAGCUUCUGACUCGUACUGGAUGAUGCGAGUUAUGUCACAUCUGCUGCCUGAGCUGCUGGGUUGUGGUAGGUGUAAGCGCUGGGCUAUGCCAUGCAGAGGAUGACAAGUGUAAGCUCAUUCUUCCUUCCAAAUAGUACCUAAAUCCCACAGAAUCAGACACACAGUGCAUUGAAAUGAAACACCGUUUGGGUUCCAGCAGCUUGUUUCUGUUAGCAUGGAGCAGCAGGAGGACUGAUUCCUCUGACACCCUGCCACUUGGAGGCAACCAUCUGAACAACUGCAGAGGGAAGAUGGCUUGGAGCCUCCUGGUGAACUGGGAGAAACAUCAAGUGGGCUGCUGGGGGCAACUCCUCGAGUUGGACCUUCAGCCUGAGAGAGGAGACUGUCCAGGCCCCUUCUCCCUGCAGAGUACCUCGCUUAGCACCUUGCAGGCAAGGCUGGCUGCCAUGGGCUGCUUAGCUCUCUUCUCCAUCUAGCACUGCCUACGCUUGUUUCCCUUCCCUGCCUGCUUCUUCCUUUUCUCUGCACUUGUUCCCCUUGGCUCCCUCCCCUUUGGCCUUUGGAUUUCUCUGGUCCUCCUCCUGGUGAUGCUCCGGGAGACUUUGUGCCUUGGCUGAGAGAGACAUCUAGUGGGGUCUGAGCUCCAGGGCACAGCUUGGUUUAGUCCUUGCUUUUUUUAUUCUUUCUUCAUGAAGAAUUUUCUUUCUUCGUGAAGAAAUGGCUUCUGUAGGAGCAGGACCUGAGCUCUGAGCAGUCCUGCAUUGUCUGCUUUGGGGCACAGAGGGCAACUGGUAGGCCAGCUUAUUGCAUGACUUGAUUUUCAUUUUUUUCUGAUGCCGUGGGAGUCUUGGCUGGGAUUUCCUUGGUUCCUGUGACACAGCUUUUAGUUCUGCACGGACCUGUUUGUUUUGGGUGCAUCCAGGUCUCUGAACCCCCCCCCUCCCCCCAGUUCCAUGUUUACCAGUUUCCCCAGGACAGGGCUGAGCUCUCAUUGCAGGCCUUGUCUCUUGCUGAAAUCCUGCUCUUGGCACUCCUCCUUGGCUUGCUUUAAUGGGCUGCAAGAAGCCAGCAAUAAGCAGCAGGGAAGAAAGCACGUGAGGGGAAAGAUUGCUAUGCUCUCAUGUGAGGCUGCAGGGAAUGGAGGGGGGGAGGGUGGUAUUUAAGGAAUAAAUUGUCUGUCUCAUCCCUGGAGUCCCGAGCCUGUAGGUCUCCAGUCCUGAUGAAGGCUUCCAAGCUUGAUGGAGCUAAGAAGGAGUUGCAGCACUGUGUUGGCAGGCAGCAGGAGAUGUGAGCACAAAAGCUGGGUGAGGAGGGAAGCAAAGCAGUAAUCGUACUGCUCUAAAGCAUAAUUCAGGGCAGAUGAUGCUUAGUGCAGAGCCUAUCUUGGUGAUAGCUGGGAACAAGCACUCACUUGUGCAGCCUCGAGAGAGGGUAGAAACCCCUUGGAAGAAUAGCGGUGGGACUGGCAUUGCAGCACUGCAAGCUGCUUGACCUGUCCAUGCAUCCUCCUGGCUGAGGCGCGGCUGGGAGGCCUCCAUGUCUCUGAUGCUCAGCAGUUGCUUGUUUGAGUGCUGCUGAUCUAGAAGGCUUCGAUCUACUCUGCAGAGGGAAGGCUGUAGCAGACUGCGGCCUGGAUGGGUGCUGGCAGUGAAGCAAUCGGGAGAGGCCUCCCCUGCACUCAGGCUGGGAGCCCACCCAGCAGCGGGACUGGACGGAGGGACUGCACAGAGGGAGAAGUGAGGCACAGGCUCCCCCCGAGAGCCCUAGCAGCUGUGCUUCUGGCACACCCUGGCCAAUGCAGCACCUUGCCAGCCACGUCUGCCUCUGCAGUGCUCUGGGUCUGCUUUGCUGGACGCAGGAGGCAGCAGAGCUGAGCACACAGAGCAGUACCCGUGCCAGCCAUAGAGGAAAGCGCAGCAGCUCAGAGCUGCCCCUGUGCAUUUCCAGGUGGGAAACUGCCUCCAGCACUGCCUGUGUCAGCUCCUCUUAGUGCUGUGCUUGGAGGCUGGGCCUCUCUGCACUGGAAUGGGCUGAGCAUGGCCGAAGCAGCACAGCAGAGCCUGGUGCAGCUGCUGAGAAGGGGAGAGGUGAAGGGUUUUGGAGAACUUCCAUGUGCGAUGCUCAGCCUCCUCCUUGGACAGCUGCUCACAUGGAAAUGAGUUUGGGUUGGAGGGUUCUGAUUGCCCAGAAGCCCAUGAAGAACCACCCAGACCACGUGUUAUAAAAUAUCCCAGUUUAUUAGAGCAUUUCCACUUCACAGAGAGUCUUACAAAACAAUGUAUUUACAGACAAAGAUAGAGCUAACUAAAUUCACUGGGAGUGUGCUCUCCUAGGGCCAGGAAUGGGCUACACAGGAAAAAAAAAAUCACAUUCAGCAG
This is a long non-coding RNA of Numida meleagris (helmeted guineafowl), 6444 nucleotides long. RefSeq lists it as uncharacterized. The transcript has 8 exons. NCBI's taxonomy places the organism in Eukaryota, Metazoa, Chordata, Aves, Galliformes, Numididae. The record is from RefSeq and is a predicted model, not a curated record.